UACGGGGGGGGCAAGCGUUGUUCGGAAUUACUGGGCGUAAAGGGCCAGUAGGCGGCCGACUAAGUCCGACGUGAAAUCCCCAGGCUUAACCUGGGAACUGCGUCGGAUACUGGCCGGCUUGAAUUCAGGAGAGGGAUGCAGAAUUCCAGGUGUAGCGGUGAAAUGCGUAGAUAUCUGGAGGAAUACCGGUGGCGAAGGCGGCAUCCUGGACCGAGAUUGACGCUGAGGAGCGAAAGCUAGGGGAGCAAACGGG
This 253-nucleotide ribosomal RNA is filed under the name uncultured bacterium. RNAcentral's name for it is "partial 16S ribosomal RNA". It matches the Rfam family "Bacterial small subunit ribosomal RNA", at positions 524 to 776 of the family's 1533-position model. The record is from RNAcentral.